This 377-nucleotide long non-coding RNA is filed under the name Androctonus crassicauda. Lineage: Eukaryota; Metazoa; Arthropoda; Arachnida; Scorpiones; Buthidae. The record is from RNAcentral.
UCCUAUAGACUCAAUACUGACUUCUGAUGCUGUAUGAGUCUAUGGGAGAGUAUAUUAAUCCUACGGUAAUAAAAGUUAUCAUAGGAUCCUAUAGAUUCAAAACUGACUUCCGAUGUUGUUCAGGUUUUAUAGGAGAGUAUAUUAAUCCUAUAGUAAUAAAGGUUAUCAUAGGAUCCUAUAGACUCAAUACUGACUUCCGAUGUUGUUUCAGGUUUUAUAGGAGAGUAUAUUAAUCCUAUAGUAAUAAAGGUUGUCAUAGGAUCCUAUAGACUCAAUAGCCUACUGACUUCCGAUGCUGUGGUCGGGUUUUAUAUUAAAGUUUAAACGCGAAUUUCUGUUGUGAGAUGUAUUUGAAGAUUGGGUCGGGCACUCCAGAG